UACAGAGGUCUCAAGCGUUGUUCGGAUUCAUUGGGCGUAAAGGGUGCGUAGGCGGCGCGGUAAGUCGGGUGUGAAAUCUUGGAGCUUAACUCCGAAACUGCAUUCGAUACUGCCGUGCUUGAGGACUGGAGAGGAGACUGGAAUUUACGGUGUAGCGGUGAAAUGCGUAGAUAUCGGGAGGAACACCUGUGGCGAAAGCGGCGCACUGGACCACAACUGACGCUGAUGUGCGAAAGCUAGGGGAGCAAACAGG
Molecule: ribosomal RNA, 253 nt
Filed under: uncultured bacterium
Lineage: Bacteria
Description: partial 16S ribosomal RNA
Rfam family: Bacterial small subunit ribosomal RNA
Source: RNAcentral